Molecule: non-coding RNA, 100 nt
Organism: Acanthosepion pharaonis
Lineage: Eukaryota; Metazoa; Mollusca; Cephalopoda; Sepiida; Sepiidae
Source: the annotation of a GenBank genome assembly
AUUGAAAAACCAGUUCCAAGUAUGAUCACUGAAGUUAAGCAACAUCAAGCCCAGUCAGUACCUAGAUGAGUGACUGCUUGGGAAUACUAGGUGCUGUCAG